Molecule: signal recognition particle RNA, 315 nt
Filed under: Pyrococcus kukulkanii
Lineage: Archaea; Methanobacteriati; Methanobacteriota; Thermococci; Thermococcales; Thermococcaceae
Also listed under: 1 other name
Description: signal recognition particle sRNA
Rfam family: Archaeal signal recognition particle RNA
Source: RNAcentral
CGGCGGGCUAGGCCGGGGGGUUCGGCGUCCCCUGUAACCGGAAACCGCCGAUAUGCCGGGGCCGAAGCCCGGGGGGCGGUUCCCGAAGCCGCUCCCGGAAGCCGGGACCGAACGAUGAGUCCUCGUCCCGCGGGGUGCCCGGUGGGGGAGGCACGGCUGAAGGGCCGUGCUAACCCCCUUUGGGCCCUGAACCCCGCAAGGCCCGGAAGGGAGCAGCGGUAGGGGCCACGGAGCACGCUCGCGGGGGUGCGGGGAUGAGGUAGGGCCCGGUGAAAGGGAGCGGUGGAGGGUUCCCACCUCCGGGCGCGCCCGCCG